AGUGAACGCUGGCGGUAGGCCUAACACAUGCAAGUCGAACGGCAGCACAGUAAGAGCUUGCUCUUACGGGUGGCGAGUGGCGGACGGGUGAGGAAUACAUCGGAAUCUACUUUUUCGUGGGGGAUAACGUAGGGAAACUUACGCUAAUACCGCAUACGACCUACGGGUGAAAGCAGGGGAUCUUCGGACCUUGCGCGAUUGAAUGAGCCGAUGUCGGAUUAGCUAGUUGGCGGGGUAAAGGCCCACCAAGGCGACGAUCCGUAGCUGGUCUGAGAGGAUGAUCCGCCACACUGGAACUUAGACACGGUCCAGACUCCUACGGGAGGCAGCAGUGGGGAAUAUUGGACAAUGGGCGCAAACCUGAUCCAGCCAUACCGCGUGGGUGAAGAAGGCCUUCGGGUUGUAAAGCCCUUUUGUUGGGAAAGAAAAGCAGCAGGUUAAUACCCCGCUGUUCUGACGGUACCCAAAGAAUAAGCACCGGCUAACUUCGUG
Molecule: ribosomal RNA, 492 nt
Filed under: uncultured bacterium
Lineage: Bacteria
Description: partial 16S ribosomal RNA
Rfam family: Bacterial small subunit ribosomal RNA
Source: RNAcentral